GAACAAGCACCGUUUGCAUGGAUUGCAUCAAGUACCUCUACCGACGACCCCGAACAUCUACGGAGUUUGCACGAUUGCGAGAUGUGAACCACUACUUCUAAUACCGUCGCCGUGUACAACUACUUCCUCUACGAACUUGAUCCAUUCCGAAAAGUCACGCCUCGAAGGUAUAACCCCGAGACGACGUCCGUGGACCGAAUGCAUGUGUGUUGUAUGAGAUGCUCGUGUUUGCACCGUUUCCGAGAGAGGUCUUUGCACGUUCCUCGAUUGCCAUGCCGCCGUACCGUGGGAACCCGGAAUCCGGGAGCACCCCACCAUCUCUUGCGCAUUUCACACAUCCACACAAUUCUCUUUUGCACCGGUAUCUCCAUUAGCUACCAGAACCGAUAUGGUGCCGUGGCAUCAUUUUCGGAUUCGUUGCCGUAGCACCCCUUUUUUCCACCACGGUAACAAAUGCCUCGUAUCAUUUUAUACCAACACUUUCAUAAAAUUGCAUAUAACUUACAUCUCUCAUUCGCAUCAGGAUAACAACAUUCAAAUGUUUAAAAUUGUGUUUGUAUUAAAAUUGCUAAAUGACAUAUGGGGAUUUUCCGGUAUUGUCGUUUGUUAUUUCCGGCCUCAUUUAAACGUGCCUAGAUAGGUUGUUUAAUUAUGCUUCACCCCUUGCCAUGGUUAACAACAUUUAAUAUUGUUGGUUACAUAAACAAGAGCGAACUAAAUAACUGAUGUGGUGUUUCGUCAAUAUGCAACUCGUUGCAUAUUGAGCUCCACUUAACUUGUAGUUUCGUUUGUGCACUUUGCCAUGCCAUGCAUAUUUAACCGGACAUGCAUCAUAUUUGUUUUUGCAUCAUGCCAUGUGUAUGUGGUGGUUGUUUACUAUGUUGUUUGUUUCUUUCCGGGUUGCUUCUCUCGUUAGCUUCGGUUUCGUUCCGGAGUUGUGAGGAUUCGUUCGACUACGUCCGCUUGUCUUCUUCAUGGACUCGUUCUUCUUCCUUGCGGGAUUUCAGGCAAGAUGACCACCCCUCGAAAUCACUUCUAUCUUUGCUUUGCUAGUUGCUCGUUCUUUUGCCAUGCUGCGCUACCUACCACUUGCUAUAUCAUGCCUCCCAUACUGCCAUGUCAGCCCUAACCUUUUCACCCUUCCUAGCAACCAUUGUUUGGCUAUGUUACCGCUUUGCUCAGCCCCUUCGUAUAGCGUUGCUAGUUGCAAGUGAAGAUGAAGAUUGCUCCAUGUUGGAUUAUGUUUAUGUUGGGAUAUCACGAUAUCUCUUAUCUUAAUUAAUGCAUCUAUAUACUUGGUAAAGGGUGGAAGGCUCGGCCUUAUGCCUGGUGUUUUGUUCCACUCUUGCCGCCCUAGUUUCCGUCAUACCGGUGUUAUGUUCCUUGAUUUUGCGUUCCUUACGCGGUUGUGUGAUUUAUGGGACCCCCUUGACAGUUCGCCUUGAAUAAAACUCCUCCAGCAAGGCCCAACCUUGGUUUUACCAUUUGCUACCACAUAUCCCCUUUUCCCUUGGGUUCUGCAGACUCAAGGGUCAUCUUAUUUUAACCCCCCCGGGCCAGUGCUCCUUCGAGUGUUGGUCCGAACUGAGUAGACUGCGGGGCCCCCUCGUGGAAACUCGAGGUCUGGUUUUACUCGUAGGAUGUCUCAUCCGGUGUUGCCCUGAGAACGAGAUAUGUGCAGCUCCUAUCGGGAUUUGUCGGCACAUCGGGCGGCUUUGCUGGUCUUGUUUUACCAUUGUCGAAAUGUCUUGUAAACCGGGAUUCCGAGACUGAUCGGGUCUUCCUGGGAGAAGGAAUAUCCUUCGUUGACCGUGAGAGCUUAUAAUGGGCUAAGUUGGGACACCCCUGCAGGGUAUAAACUUUCGAGAGCCGUGCCCGCGGUUAUGUGGCAGAUGGGAAUUUGUUAAUAUCCGGUUGUAGAGAACUUGACACUUGACCUUAUUUAAAAUACAUCAACCGCGUGUGUAGCCGUGAUGGUCUCUUCUCGGCGGAGUCCGGGAAGUGAACACGGUUUCUGGGUUAUGUUUGACGUAAGUAGGUGUUCAGGAUCACUUCUUGAUCAUUGCUAGAUGACGACCGUUCUGUUGCUUCUCUUCUCGCUCUCAUUUGCGUAUGUUAGCCACCUUAUAUGCUAGUGCUUUCUGCAGCUCCAUCUCACUACCCCAUCCUUUCCUAUAAGCUUAAAUAGUCUUGAUCUCGCGGGUGUGAGAUUGCUGAGUCCUCGUGACUCACAGUUACUUCCAAACAGUUGCAGGUGCCGAUGAGACCAGUGCAGGUGACGCAACUGAGCGCAAGUGGGAGCUCGACGAAGAUCUUGUUCGUUGUGUUGUUUCUUUUCACGUUGAUCAGUAGUGGUGCCCAGUCGGGACGAUCGGGGAUCUAGCAGUUGGGUUGUCUUCUUUUAUUUUGGUUCCGUAGUCGGACCAAUGUGUGUAUCUUGAAUGAUGUAUGAUUUUAUUAUGUAUUGUGUGAAGUGGCGAUUGUAAGCCAACUCUUUAUCCCAUUCUUGUUCAUUACAUGGGAUUGUGUGAAGAUGACCCUUCUUGCGACAAAACCACAAUGCGGUUAUGCCUCUAAGUCGUGCCUCGACACGUGGGAGAUAUCGCCGCAUUGUGGGCAUUACUAGUUGGUAAUCAGAGCCAUCCCCAACUUUGGAGCCCCCUGCUUGAUCGAAUCGCUGGCGUUGUUGAGUCUAGAACAAAAAUGUUUUGAGUCUUAGGAUUAUAUAUAUAGGAGAGUAGGAUUCUUUUUACUCCUCAGUCCCUUCGUCGCUCUGGUGAGGUCUCCUGACGUAGAAGUUUUGACUCUUCUCUCCUCAAAUUUCGGUAAAUUUUUUUAGGAUCACGCGGGUAUCUUGGAAUCGUUCCAAUGGUUUUGUGAUGAGAACAUUGUUCUUGGUGCCUCCUGACAGUUAGGGGUUGUGGCAGUGUCCCGGGGAGUUGAGCUCCGAGGUGUUGUCGUCACAAUUUUAUCGUUGCAGUUCUGGAAUACCUGAGUUUCGCCGACAUCAAAAUCUCUUUUAUGCAGUUGUUGGUGAGAUCACCUCGACGCCACCCAGUACUGGGGCGGGAGUUCGGGAGUAUUGCCAUAACUCGUAUAACGGAUGUUUUUCGAAGGUUGAGGUAAACGAUUUCUGGAGUUUUCUUGGUUAUGUGUUGACGGAUGGAUACAACUGGAUCUAGGUAUUGUUAGUUUGGGUGAUAUAUUUUGUGUCCCCUGUAUCCCCAACACCAGAUUGCAUAACCAGAAAGUUUCGGGAGUUUAUAAGUGGGAAUUCAAGUAGCUCUUAGGAUAUCUUUCCGACAGAUGCAUGAUAUGAGAUUGGGGUUCGACGUCUAGUGGUCCGCCUAUACACGGUUGGUUUUACAGUGGUCUUGUAGUGUCUUAAAGAGUCCUUGGCUAUGCCAACUCGGGGACGCUUCGUAUGUCAUGUGCACUGCCUUGUACAUGAUGGUGCUGUACGAUCGAGCCCGUGUGGGCCCCACCACGAAAAUUUCGGACGGAAUCUCUAUCAUAUGUUUGUUCCGGCUUAUUCUGCAAGCCAAAUCCUUUGUUUUGUUUUAUUUGUGGUAUUCGAGUUGCUUCGAAGUCAAAUGUUGAUUCCAUACCUUAUUCUAAGCGGUGUUCUCAUAUUCCUAUGUGGAUACUAAUCCUUCUUGAUCAUCGAGUUUGCCAUCUUAAUUCUAUUUCCAACCGGUGUGUUUCUCUUUGAGAUGAUCCCAUCAUUCUCCCCAUUUGGAAGUUCAAUAAUAAGUUUUCUCAACGUCGUUUGUUUCAUCUGCCCCAAGUUGCCUUUCUUUUCCCGCCCUCCCACCCUCUUUCUUCAAGGACUCAGAUGUCUUAACCUAGUAUCCAUUUUAUUCACGUGAAGUCCCUUCAUUCUUUUCAAUCAAUGUUCCUACCCGGUGGUUCUCAUGAAGAUGUUCUUCAGAUGUUUUUCUCAUGCCGGUGUAUCUCUUAAUCACUCACCUCUCGCUUUCCAUGUGUACCGGAGUGUUGAAGAUAUCUCAGGAGAUUUGUGUUUUCAUUCAAGAUCCAUUCUAACUAUUUUGAGGUUGUUAUCUCAUUCAAGCCAUUUAAUUCAACCGGUGCAAUCUCAUUUUCAAGUAAUCAUUUCAACGGUGUUUCUUUCGAGUAGGCCCUAACCCACAGGUAUUUUCCCAGGAUCUUACCUGACUCUUCUAAUUUUUCUGGAGUUAUUCUCAAAUUCUUUUCAAAGUCUGACAUAAGAAUGAGUUAUCAUCAGUCAUAUUUCUUCUCCAAGAUCUUUCAAAUUCUUUUCAUUGUUGAUUCAACCUUUCUAUUCUUCAUGGUUCCGGAGUGCCUCAACAAUUCAUGGUGGUGUUUCUUAUCAUCAUUCUCAACAUUUGAAGACCGAAGAAGAGUUUUUCCUCCAAAUCUUAUCCGUUCUCUUGAAGAUUCAUAGUUCUAGCUUAUGCCAUCCUCUCAUAGUUGUUUUCGAUUGUGAGAAUUCUUUACAUACCCAUCCGGAGCAUUUCAUGAGUUGUUUUCCUUUCUUGAUCAUCCAAAGGCCAUCUUUUCAGAAGAUUUCUUCGUUCUAAGUUUUAAGCUUCGUUCUCCAAUUACUCUAAAGUGAUGUCUCUUCGCUCAUCUCCAUAUUAUUCCGGUGCAUUGUCCAAGUAUCCUCUAAUCAGUUCACGAUCUCUUCGUUCUCAUGUAUCUAAAUCCCCUCAAGUAUUUUCAUUCGUUUUUUCAAUUCUUCCCGGUGAAUUGUGCCUUUGCUACUUUCAUUUUCAAUUCUCGCGGUGGUUCAUUCAGGAUUUCUCUUCCUUCGUUAUCAUAUCAAUUUAUUCAUUGUUUCUAUUCUACCGGUGGUUCGAUGAAGACUUUUCUCAAGUUUGCACUAUAUCUAUCUUAAUCCUUUCUACGAGAAUAAGUAGUAUGCAAGAUCCGUUGCUUGUCAUCAAUCUAAAUUGGUGAAGGAUACGCGUAAUGUAAUUCUUAUUCUUGUAUCAUCCAAGUGAUUAAUUCCUUCUUCCGGAGUUCGUUCAUGAUAUCAAAUUCUCGGUUCCAAGUUGUUCAUCUUUUCUUUCCGGAGAUCCAAGUUAUUUCUUUUCUUUCCGGAGAUCCAAGUUAUUUCAAUUAUAUCAUUUCAAAGCUUCAUCUAAUCAUUGCAAGACUUCUCCCGGAGUUCUUUUCAAUUUUCCCUUUCGUUUGAUCAUUCUUUUAUUACCGGAGUUCUUCAUGGAGGCUCUACGUGGUGCUUCAUCAAGGAUUCAUUUCAUUCUUCAAUUGUUCUUCAAGAUUUCUCUCAGAGUUAAGAUCCGCCAAGCUAUACUUUAAAAUAAACAUGGUGUUCAACACAUGUUUUGUCUUGCGGAGUCCAAGCAUUCUUCAUCUUGCAUUCUAAAGUGCAAUUCUUCCUACCUUAUCUUUUGAGGUGGUGUUAUGUCAUUCUCGAUAAUUUUCCUUCGGGUUUCAUGAUUCACAAAGUUUUCAAGAGUGACAUAUUUAAAUCCAUCAUUUUAUCUUCGUUCAAGGGAUUUUUUCAACCAAUCAAUCUUUUGUUGGAGUUAUCUUGGGUUAUAUUUCACCUAUAGCCUUCCCUAAGGAAUGUAGCUAUUUGUGGUGUUUAUCAAUGAUCCAAGUUUUCUCCUAUCCUCUCGGCGAGAGAAGUUUUCAUCUCUUCGUUGAUCUCAAACAAGCAAUUGUUUUCGUUAGUGGCAAAGUUUUCACCUCAUAUUUUGAGAUGUGUUCAAUAAGCCCACAACAAGAUUGUUCUUUUCGUUGUUGAUUUCCCAACAACUCCGUUAUAACCUUCUUGGAAGGUUGCUUUCCAAAUUCAUUUGUGGAAGCUGUUGUCAUUUCCUUCUCCGUUCUCUUAUUCUGACGAUCUAUCUUCUAUUCAUUCGUCCCAGAGGCAUUGUGAUGUUGCUCUCUUCGAUCAAUCAUCUUGUUUUGUCAAGAACAUGUAAUUUUUCCUUUCUUAUCCAUUUAGCCGGAGUGUCGUGUUUUCACUCGAGUUCUCUCAUCUUAUCAAGUUUCGUCUCCUUCCUCAACCGGAGUGCUGUCUGAAAUCUUUCUUACCCCUUGUCCCAUUCUUUCAUUAGUACCGGAGGCAAUGUGUUGUUAAUUUCAUCGAGUAUCCUCUCAUCUUGUCAAGAUCAUGUUCAAUUCCUUCCAUUAUAGUCGGAGUGCUGCCCAAAUUAUAUCAUUCUUAUUCCUUCCCUAUCUUGUUUUAACCGGAGUGGUUUAAAUAUCUAUCGUGUCAAUUAACCUCAAGGUUCACAUGGUGUUCCUUGUCUCUCUUUUCUACCGGUGUGCUUUCAUAUUCCUUUUGAUCCGUUAAGCUCUUGUUUCAUAUUCUUCAACCUACAAAGGUUCUCGCAAUGUUCCUUGUUCCUCUUGCUGAACGGGGUGUUUUAAAUUUUGUUCAUCUCCGUUGUGUCAUUUCCUCAAGCUUUGCGACCUCUCAAGGUUCUUUGGUUUCACUCAUUUGUCAAAGAAGCAAUUAGUUUUACCUCUUCUCUUCCUCUUCUGCUUUUAUCCGGUGCCAUCCUAGAUCUCGGGACGAGAUCCUCUUGUAGUGGUGGAGUGUUGUAAUGCCCCGAGACCGACGCUUCAGAAGACUUCCUUAUUUUCGUGAUCGCCGUGUGUUCCUUUUGGUGCUUGCUCUUUUAUUUUGCAUUGCAUCAUGUCAUCAUGCCAUCAUGUCAUUAAUCUGUGCAUCAAAACUCAACUAAAUAAAUUGCAUGGAUCUUCGAUCCAUUUAAAUCGAGGGAAUUCACAUGGUGAUUUCCCUUUAUAACAUAUCCUCCUAAUAUUUAUGGAGCUAUUAUAAAUAUUCCAUUAGUUUGGAAUUAACCUUAACACACGUGCAAAAUUAAUCCUAUGCCUUUUCUGCCUUGAGUCGAUCUCUCUAACCUUGCCAAUAAUUCUUUUCCCAUUUAGCGAGGCUCUUCCUAAAUUCCCAACAUUUGUGGACUCCUCAAUACCUUGAACUCUUUCAAAUCAUUUGAAUUUAAAUCAAAUGACUUUGAGUUUAAAUCUUUCAAUCAUGGCCUUUCCUAUUUUCUCGGAACAAGCACUUUGUUGUGAGUCCGGGAAAAUAAUCCCCAUGCCCAAAUUCUUGUCCACUCUUUCCUUUUCUCUCCUUUUCUUUCUUUGCUUUUUCUGUUUUUAUAAGAGUUUUGUAGAAGAGAGGGAGUGGAGAGCCCAGCAGCCUCCCUCUUCACUGGGCCGGCCUCUAGGCCCAGCAGCCCCUCGCUAACCUAGCCCGAUCCCCAUCUCUCCCUUCGUUCUCCUCUUGCGCCGCCACUUCCUCCUCUCGAUCUCUCCCUCAUCUCCCUGCAGCGCCGCCAGCCUCCCCUGUCUCAUCCUCCCGAUCCCCUCACCCUCUUCCUCUCGUCCUCUCCCUUGCACCGCCACCCAGAGAGAGGAGAGGAGCGAGACCCCCUAUCGCCGACCGCCCGAGGAGAGGAGUUCCUCGAGCACCGGCCGCCCGCAGCAUCCUCCUCCCCUCGCGACCUCCCCAUCCACAUCCGCUGCUGGUGCCUCCCGUCGUCAUCUUCAAGCUCGUCGCGCAGCCGCCGCCCGGAUCCACCCCCGGCUGCCAUCCAGGACCUCGUCUGCCUCCCCUACACCACGCCCCGUCGCUGGGAGCUCGCAUCAAGUCCACCUCUCCUCGCCAUGGCCCUCGCGAACUUCCUCACCGCCGCCUCUUCUCCUGCUUCUCCUCGUCACCACCAACCCGCCGUUCGCCUCCAGCCCUCGUCUGCGUCCGCGCCAAGUCCAGCGAGGCGUCGCCUUACCUGCUGCCUCCCGCGUCUCCUCGUCGCGAGCUGGCUCCACCGCGCCUCGAUCCUCCUCUGCUAGCGCCUCUGUUGCCUCUGCCGCCCUUGCUGCCGUAGCUUUGCCCUGCUGCUCCUCAUGCUGGAGUUUCAGCAAGACCCUGGUCGACCUCCUCCUUGACGACCCCCGCACCCUGCCUGCUCGUCCCUUCGCCGCUUGCGGUCCAACUCCGAGGUCACGGCGGUGUAGUCGAACUUGACAAAAACGGCAAGACCACACGGACGCUCGAACGACUACACACUGAAACGUCAAGUACCUCGUCAAUGUGUACGACUACCAUCGCCGCGAAGACCGUGAGUUCAACUACUUCCAGAACGCGUCAUGUACGACUACCGUCGCUUGGGUUCGACAAGUCGUCGAGUACCACUACGCUGGCCAAGUACACCUUCGUCAAGACCGAUGCCCGAACAAGCACCGUUUGCAUGGAUUGCGUCAAGUACCUCUACCGGCGACCCCGAACAUCUACGGAGUUUGCACGAUUGCGAGAUGUGAACCACUACUUCUAAUACCGUCGCCGUGUACAACUACUUCCUCUACGAACUUGAUCCGUUCCGAAAAGUCACGCCUCGAAGGUAUAACCCCGAGACGACGUCCGUGGACCGAAUGCAUGUGUGUUGUAUGAGAUGCUCAUGUUUGCACCGUUUCCGAGAGAGGUCUUUGCACGUUCCUCGAUUGCCAUGCCGCCGUACCGUGGGAACCCGGAAUCCGGGAGCACCCCACCAUCUCUUGCGCAUUUCACACAUCCGCACAAUUCUCUUUUGCGCCGGUAUCUCCAUUAGCUACCGGAACCGAUAUGGUGCCGUGGCAUCAUUUUCGGAUUCGUUGCCAUGGCACCCCUUUCUUCCACCACGGUAACAAAUGCCUCGUAUCAUUUUAUACCAACACUUCCAUAAAAUUGCAUAUAACUUACAUCUGUCAUUCGCAUCAUGAUAACAACAUUCAAAUGUUUAAAAUUGUGUUUGUAUUAAAAUUGCUAAAUGACAUAUGGGGAUUUUCCGGUAUUGUCGUUUGUUAUUUCCGGCCUCAUUUAAACGUGCCUAGAUAGGUUGUUUAAUUAUGCUUCACCCCUUGCCAUGGUUAACAACAUUUAAUAUUGUUGGUUACUUAAACAAGAGCGAACUAAAUAACUGAUGUGGUGUUUCGUCAAUAUGCAACUCGUUGCAUAUUGAGCUCCACUUAACUUGUAGUUUCGUUUGUGCACUUUUCCAUGCCAUGCAUAUUUAACCGGACAUGCAUCAUAUUUGUUUUUGCAUCAUGCCAUGUGUAUGUGGUGGUUGUUUACUAUGUUGUUUGUUUCUUUCCGGGUUGCUUCUCUCGUUAGCUUCGGUUUCGUUCCGGAGUUGUGAGGAUUCGUUCGACUACGUCCGCUUGUCUUCUUCAUGGACUCGUUCUUCUUCCUUGCGGGAUUUCAGGCAAGAUGACCACCCCUCGAAAUCACUUCUAUCUUUGCUUUGCUAGUUGCUCGUUCUUUUGCCAUGCGGCGCUACCUACCACUUGCUAUAUCAUGCCUCCCAUACUGCCAUGUCAGCCCCUAACCUUUUCACCCUUCCUAGCAACCGUUGUUUGGCUAUGUUACCGCUUUGCUCAGCCCCUUCUUAUAGCGUUGCUAGUUGCAGGUGAAGAUGAAGAUUGCUCCAUGUUGGAUUAUGUUUAUGUUGGGAUAUCACAAUAUCUCUUAUCUUAAUUAAUGCAUCUAUAUACUUGGUAAAGGGUGGAAGGCUCGGCCUUAUGCUUGGUGUUUUGUUCCACUCUUGCCGCCCUAGUUUCCGUCAUACCGGUGUUAUGUUCCUUGAAUUUGCGUUCCUUACGCGGUUGGGUGAUUUAUGGGACCCCCUUGACAGUUCGCCUUGAAUAAAACUCCUCCAGCAAGGCCCAACCUUAGUUUUACCAUUUGCUACCACCUAUCCCCUUUUCCCUUGGGUUCUGCAGACUCAAGGGUCAUCUUAUUUUAACCCCCCCGGGCCAGUGCUCCUUCGAGUGUUGGUCCGAACUGAGUAGACUGCGGGGCCCCCUCGUGGAAACUCGAGGUCUGGUUUUACUCGUAGGAUGUCUCAUCCGGUGUUGCCCUGAGAACGAGAUAUGUGCAGCUCCUAUCGGGAUUUGUCGGCACAUCGGGCGGCUUUGCUGGUCUUGUUUUACCAUUGUCGAAAUGUCUUGUAAACCGGGAUUCCGAGACUGAUCGGGUCUUCCUGGGAGAAGGAAUAUCCUUCGUUGACCGUGAGAGCUUAUAAUGGGCUAAGUUGGGACACCCCUGCAGGGUAUAAACUUUUGAGAGCCGUGCCCGCGGUUAUGUGGCAGAUGGGAAUUUGUUAAUAUCCGGUUGUAGAGAACUUGACACUUGACCUUAUUUAAAAUACAUCAACCGCGUGUGUAGCCGUGAUGGUCUCUUCUCGGCGGAGUCUGGGAAGUGAACACGGUUUCUGGGUUAUGUUUGACGUAAGUAGGUGUUCAGGAUCACUUCUUGAUCAUUGCUAGAUGACGACCGUUCUGUUGCUUCUCUUCUCGCUCUCACUUGCGUAUGUUAGCCACCUUAUAUGCUAGUGCUUGCUGCAGCUCCAUCUCACUACCCCAUCCUUUCCUAUAAGCUUAAAUAGUCUUGAUCUCGCGGGUGUGAGAUUGCUGAGUCCUCGUGACUCACAGUUACUUCCAAACAGUUGCAGGUGCCGAUGAGACCAGUGCAGGUGACGCAACUGAGCGCAAGUGGGAGCUCGACGAAGAUCUUGUUCGUUGUGUUGUUUCUUUUCACGUUGAUCAGUAGUGGUGCCCAGUCGGGACGAUCAGGGAUCUAGCAGUUGGGUUGUCUUCUUUUAUUUUGGUUCCGUAGUCGGACCAAUGUGUGUAUCUUGAAUGAUGUAUGAUUUUAUUAUGUAUUGUGUGAAGUGGCGAUUGUAAGCCAACUCUUUAUCCCAU
RNAcentral lists this long non-coding RNA (10722 nucleotides) under Triticum aestivum (bread wheat). RNAcentral's name for it is "long non-coding RNA (TAES_LNC017541)". The record is from RNAcentral. Lineage: Eukaryota; Viridiplantae; Streptophyta; Magnoliopsida; Poales; Poaceae.